AAGUAUGAGCAGCACCUGUGAAUUAACUCUAAGCACAUUUAACAGUGUUAAUGUUUGGGGUCUGGAGCCUAGGCCUCAGGAGUCCUUUCAGCCUCUGUCUUCCCCCACUUGGAAUCCUGCCCUGAGACUUCCAUGAACAGAAGCUGGUUCAGCCUCCAUGAGGAUAAAAAGCCUUGUGGAGGGAAACCAAGGUGCCCCAGACAACGGCCAGCAACAACUGCCAGGGUCUCAGGCCAAUGGACCAGUAGCCUGUGAUUCUGAUGAGCGCUCUGAAAACAGGUGAAAACUGUUCAUCCCUUCUUUGGCGUCCUCAUCACAGGUGGUAGAAUUGAACUGCUCCUAGCAGAACCUGGGAAGAAAUACCUCGAGUCAGUUUGUUUUCUGAGUUCUGCCACGGUUAACGGACUUCCUGUGUAGGAGAUGCAGCUGUAGCCUGGCCACAGAAACAGAAGCAUACAGUUUCCACCUCUGACAAUGAAAGCUGGGCCUCGUGAGAGCUGGGAAAACCUGGGUCUGAAUCUUCCCACUUAGCUCGAAGCUCCUGUCUGGACCACAGCAGCCAAUUCUCACAACAUACAGUAGGAUCACGGCGUGAAGAGCACUGACUUAGAAGCUGCAUACGAACACGGCAAAUGACCAGAGAGCAGACACACCAGCUCUGGUGGGACAGCGUUCCUUGGGGAAAACACAGAGACAGGAACAGACAUCGGAUUCUAGAAAAUGGACCCUGAAACUUGAGCUGUGACGUUUUCAAGCUCUGUUGUUAGAGAAACACCAAGCUCUCCUCUGGAGUAAUUAGUGGUCAAAAUACAACACAAGGCUCUGGCAUGGCUCCAAGCCGUCUCCUACCAGCUCGGGAUUUGGGGGUGUGGAGAUCACCGGCCCCUCCCCUUGCAUAAUCAGGGUUGGGGGGGGGGUCAAAGCCUUGUCCCUGCAGCUAGCUGUAGUGGCAAGGCCCAUCCCCCAGUAUUCAUGAUUGUAGAAGGACCACAGCUUUCUCCUGACCUGUUCAGUAGGCUGGAGCCAAGCCUAGAGAUGACCUGGGAUCUGCCCCUUCAACCCUGGGCUGCAACUUGCUUCCUUGGCUCUUUUAGGCCAACUCUUUUUCUGGAAGGCUGAUUAGGAAGAAUCCAUCUUGGACAAAUCAAGGUAUACCUUUCUGAGUCUAGCCCUAAUGAGCCCACUAUCCUUUCUUCCUGAGUUGAUCUUAUUUUCUUAGAAUGACAGGCCUUCUUAUACAGGGGCAGGGUUUGCCUAAGUGAGUUUACUGGCUGGUGGAGCAGAUGUGUGCAUCCUGAGGCAGGAUGCUGUGAAAGAGAAUACCUAGACAGGGCUGAAUUUCAGUUUUCUCCCAAAUCACCAGUCAGCUUAGGCAUUUACCUUCCCAUGGAGCAGUGGGGGUGAAGAGUUGAGAAGCCUUUAGAAGAAACUUUCACUGGUGCUUUUUCCUCCUUGGGAAGGAACACGAGUUUCUUGUCCUUUAUGGAAAUGCGCAGGAGCUCUGAAUCAAAAAUGAACUGGAUGUUACCAUUCUGGACGUGGAUGAUGGUGAUGGUUCCACAAAAAAAUAUGAAUGUAUUUAAUGUCACUGAACAAUACACUUAAAAAUGAUAAAUUUUAGUUAUGUAUGUUUUAGUACUAUAAAACAAACUUAAUCUAAUCUUGGUUUUGGUUUUGUUAUGCUUUGUUUUGAAUAGUUAAUAUAGUCACAAGUUUUUAAAUUUAAAAAACAAAAAUGGCCCAUCAGAAGUUCGCUUCAGGUACAGCAGGUUAAUGAUCCAGCAUUUUAUUUUUUUCUUUUUCUUUUUUGUCUUUUUGCCUUUUCUAGGGCUGCUCCCUCAGCAUUUGGAGGUUCUCAGGUUAGGGGUCUAAAUGGAGCUGUAGCCACUGGCCUAUGCCAGAGCCACAGCAAUGUGGGAUCUGAGCCACAUCUGCAACCUACACCAUAGCUCAGGGCAACGCCAGAUCCUUAACCCACUGAGCAAGGCCAGGGAUCGAACCUGCAACUUCAUCAUUCCUAGUUGGAUUGUUAACCACUGAGCCACGACGGAAACUCCAA
RNAcentral lists this long non-coding RNA (2059 nucleotides) under Sus scrofa (pig). RNAcentral's name for it is "lncRNA (ENSSSCG00005004249.1)". Lineage: Eukaryota; Metazoa; Chordata; Mammalia; Artiodactyla; Suidae. The record is from RNAcentral.